Small nuclear RNA from Rattus rattus (black rat), 103 nucleotides. Lineage: Eukaryota; Metazoa; Chordata; Mammalia; Rodentia; Muridae. The record is from RefSeq and is a predicted model, not a curated record.
GUGCUCACCUCGGCAGCACAUGCAGUAAAUCUGGAAGGAUACAAAGAUUAACAUGGCCCCUACCCACAGAUGACACGAAAUUUGUGAACCAGUCCACAUUUUC